GGACCUAGCGGCGGACGGGUGAGUAAUGCUUAGGAAUCUGCCUAUUAGUGGGGGACAACAUCUCGAAAGGGAUGCUAAUACCGCAUACGUCCUACGGGAGAAAGCAGGGGAUCUUCGGACCUUGCGCUAAUAGAUGAGCCUAAGUCGGAUUAGCUAGUUGGUGGGGUAAAGGCCUACCAAGGCGACGAUCUGUAGCGGGUCUGAGAGGAUGAUCCGCCACACUGGGACUGAGACACGGCCCAGACUCCUACGGGAGGCAGCAGUGGGGAAUAUUGGACAAUGGGCGCAAGCCUGAUCCAGCCAUGCCGCGUGUGUGAAGAAGGCCUUAUGGUUGUAAAGCACUUUAAGCGAGGAGGAGGCUACUUUAGAUAAUACCUAGAGAUAGUGGACGUUACUCGCAGAAUAAGCACCGGCUAACUCUGUGCCAGCAGCCGCGGUAAUACAGAGGGUGCAAGCGUUAAUCGGAUUUACUGGGCGUAAAGCGCGCGUAGGCGGCUAAUUAAGUCAAAUGUGAAAUCCCCGAGCUUAACUUGGGAAUUGCAUUCGAUACUGGUUAGCUAGAGUGUGGGAGAGGAUGGUAGAAUUCCAGGUGUAGCGGUGAAAUGCGUAGAGAUCUGGAGGAAUACCGAUGGCGAAGGCAGCCAUCUGGCCUAACACUGACGCUGAGGUGCGAAAGCAUGGGGAGCAAACAGGAUUAGAUACCCUGGUAGUCCAUGCCGUAAACGAUGUCUACUAGCCGUUGGGGCCUUUGAGGCUUUAGUGGCGCAGCUAACGCGAUAAGUAGACCGCCUGGGGAGUACGGUCGCAAGACUAAAACUCAAAUGAAUUGACGGGGGCCCGCACAAGCGGUGGAGCAUGUGGUUUAAUUCGAUGCAACGCGAAGAACCUUACCUGGCCUUGACAUAGUAAGAACUUUCCAGAGAUGGAUUGGUGCCUUCGGGAACUUACAUACAGGUGCUGCAUGGCUGUCGUCAACUCUUGUCUGGAGAUGUUGGGUUAAGUCCCGCAACUAGCGCAACCCUUUUCCUUAUUUGCCAGCAAGUAAUGUCGGGAACUUUAAG
RNAcentral lists this ribosomal RNA (1061 nucleotides) under bacterium. RNAcentral's name for it is "bacterial SSU rRNA". It matches the Rfam family "Bacterial small subunit ribosomal RNA", at positions 88 to 1144 of the family's 1533-position model. The record is from RNAcentral.